This 496-nucleotide long non-coding RNA is filed under the name Heterocephalus glaber (naked mole-rat). RNAcentral's name for it is "lncRNA (ENSHGLG00000033139.1)". Lineage: Eukaryota; Metazoa; Chordata; Mammalia; Rodentia; Bathyergidae. The record is from RNAcentral.
CUUUAACAUUCCAUUAAACCUCAGUCACUUGUGGGACUAUGUUUCAGGAUACAGUCUUCACCAGUUGUUCAAUCUUUUCUGGAGUCACAAUUGUUCUUCAUGGUCCUAAUUCCUGCUUCAUGGUCCCUGGAUGUGACAUCCCCAAUCCAUUUCUCUGAAUGCCUGAAUUCACUGGAAAUAUGUCUCUCACUCCCUUAGAAUUUAGCAGUGAAUCCAUCAAGGCCUGGGCUUUUCUUUGUUGCUUCCUCGUGGAGAAGGCCAUAUGACAAGGAAUGGAAGAAGGCCUCUGACCAACAGCUAAAGAAGCAAUCAGAAGCAGAUGCAGAGAUGAAGUAUAUUUGCACAGAAUUUCCUGAAGUACUCUCAGGAGAGACUAAUUACAAGUCUGGAAGCAGCAGAAAAAUAUUGUAAAGAAGCUAUCAAAGGAACAAUUUCAGGUUCAGUGGUAGCCUCAGUCAGUCUUCUGGGGAGCUCUAGAAAAUAAAUUAUACUUUGA